ACUUUACAAGGAUUUUUAAUUG
Molecule: small nuclear RNA, 22 nt
Filed under: Arabidopsis thaliana (thale cress)
Lineage: Eukaryota; Viridiplantae; Streptophyta; Magnoliopsida; Brassicales; Brassicaceae
Description: snRNA_00286
Source: RNAcentral